RNAcentral lists this long non-coding RNA (480 nucleotides) under Zea mays. RNAcentral describes it as "long non-coding RNA NONZMAT001900". Lineage: Eukaryota; Viridiplantae; Streptophyta; Magnoliopsida; Poales; Poaceae. The record is from RNAcentral.
UUCCGCCCGAGGGAAGCGGCUAGGUAGUUGCAACCUACUCGGUGCACAUGGGAGGUAUCCAGGAGCAUAAGUACCGGGUUCUCGCGACGCAUGGAGUGAUUAGAGCAAAUAGAAACAGAGGGAUUAGCCGCCGGGCAGAGAGUGCCUCGAAGGGCGGAAGAGGGCGUGCUUCCAUUGUCAAACCCACGGCGGGGAGUGCCCGACAUUUUCUUGCUUGAACCGGACGGUCAAAUUUGGGGGUCGCGGUGCCAGGGCAGCAGUCGAGCGCCAUUAGAUUUCUCGCCGGAGUUGGCGGAUCACGGUCGCGUCCUCCAUUGCCGUCACCGGGGGUCUCGUCGCAGGAAAACUUCGGUAAGACCUCACUCCUGGGCUUCGUCACCCUCCCUGUUGCAAGUAGACUCUAGUAGGAUAGAACUUGGUGGACCAUGGUGCUUGGCUUGGUACUCCCACGGGUCAUGCCGCCACGGGUACUGGGCGCCG